AGACCGCCACGGUGACUUGCAAGCAACUCACUGUACUUAGGCACUGGACUAUCUGAAUUUCUAAUUCAGUGACGGAAGGCUGCUGGGUGUAGUCAAGUAUUUGACUUGUCGGUGCAUGUGUCAAGAUAGGAUUGAGUACUCCAGUUCAAGAGCUGUGUACAGUCGUGUUUUAAUUUAGCAAAAUCUUGGUCAGGGUAGUCCUAGUGAGGAGUCACAGGACUAUUUGAAUUGAGCACGAUUCGGAUGAUCUAAGCAGGGUUGACAGUUUAACCCUG
This 275-nucleotide long non-coding RNA is filed under the name Elaeis guineensis (African oil palm). Its description in RNAcentral is "long non-coding RNA (EGUI_LNC065671)". Lineage: Eukaryota; Viridiplantae; Streptophyta; Magnoliopsida; Arecales; Arecaceae. The record is from RNAcentral.